CUACAAUCAAAUUAUAAACCAUAGAAUAUUCUUCGAAAAUUUUGGAAUGUACCAAAGCGAAUAUUAUCAUUUACAAAAUUAAGAUUGAAUUUUUGAACGAAGAAAAUGAAGAAAAACAAAAAGAACGAGAGAAUAGGAUGGACUGUGUUCCAGUAAUCUCAUAGGACGUUUUUAGAACUGGCAACCAGCCAGUCUUUAUACGUUAUGCUAAAAUUAAACGAUACCAGGUGGAGAUCGAGACUACACUCAAUGGUAGGCUCCGAAACCUCUGGAACCUUUUUGCUUUGAUCGUUGUUGACUGCUUCACUGACAUAGCCUCCUUCAUUAAUAUCCGAUUCCUCAGUGGUGUUACCAGGUCGUUGCUGUGUAGCACUUCCAGUUACCUAAAAAUGGAUUAUUCAAGAGAAAAUAGCUCAGAAGAUAUACUAAACGUACUGGAUUCAUUGGCUGAGA
Molecule: long non-coding RNA, 453 nt
Organism: Polistes dominula (European paper wasp)
Lineage: Eukaryota; Metazoa; Arthropoda; Insecta; Hymenoptera; Vespidae
Source: RefSeq, a predicted model, not a curated record